This 279-nucleotide ribosomal RNA is filed under the name uncultured bacterium. RNAcentral's name for it is "partial small subunit ribosomal RNA". It matches the Rfam family "Bacterial small subunit ribosomal RNA", at positions 26 to 288 of the family's 1533-position model. The record is from RNAcentral.
AGAAUCAACGCUGGCGGCGUGCCUCAGACAUGCAAGUCGAACGCGAAAGUCCCCUUCGGGGGACAAGUAGAGUGGCGCACGGGUGAGUAACACGUAGGUAAUCUACCUUCGGAUGGGGAAUAACAACCGGAAACGGUUGCUAAUACCGCAUAAUGCAGCGGCACCUAAUGGUGACAGUUGUUAAAGCGGGGGAUCGGAAGACCUCGCGUCUGAAGAGGAGCCUGCGGCGGAUUAGCUAGUUGGUAAGGUAAUGGCUUACCAAGGCUACGAUCCGUAACC